Molecule: ribosomal RNA, 404 nt
Filed under: uncultured bacterium
Lineage: Bacteria
Also listed under: 1 other name
Description: bacterial SSU rRNA
Rfam family: Bacterial small subunit ribosomal RNA
Source: RNAcentral
UGGGGAAUCUUAGACAAUGGGCGCAAGCCUGAUCUAGCCAUGCCGCGUGAGCGAUGAAGGCCUUAGGGUUGUAAAGCUCUUUCAGUGGGGAAGAUAAUGACUGUACCCACAGAAGAAGCCCCGGCUAACUCCGUGCCAGCAGCCGCGGUAAUACGGAGGGGGCUAGCGUUGUUCGGAAUUACUGGGCGUAAAGCGCACGUAGGCGGAUGGACAAGUCAGAGGUGAAAUCCCAGGGCUCAACCUUGGAACUGCCUUUGAAACUUUCCAUCUUGAGGUCGAGAGAGGUGAGUGGAAUUCCGAGUGUAGAGGUGAAAUUCGUAGAUAUUCGGAGGAACACCAGUGGCGAAGGCGGCUCACUGGCUCGAUACUGACGCUGAGGUGCGAAAGCGUGGGGAGCAAACAGG